UCGUUGAGCAGCUGCCUCGGGCGAUUCGUGAUUUUAUUUUGAAGGCCUUGCUUCCGGUUUCAUAGCGAGCGCUUGGAUCAACUGGACUUUGACGUCGAAAAGGAGGGAAGUUAAGCCGGCUGCGACCCUUUAAAGUUGCUCUCAAAACGAGGACCGGUUUGCAGCGUGAGGACGGACCGGCGGCGUGAACAGCCAGAGAAAUGACUGACCUGUACGUCUCCUUGGCGGUGUUGGGAGCCGCGCUGCUCCUCUGCGAGGCGACCCGCCGGGCAGCAGCGCGUCUUUCCCCGGGAGCUUAUCGGAUUUACCUGCUGGAAGCGGCGUCCACCUUCCAGCUCUGCUGCUGCACGCAUGAACUCAAACUGCUGGGCGAAACGGCCCGGCUGGAGCCGCCGGUCGGCCUGACUCUCACCUACAUCAUGACGGUUAUCCACAUACUAACUUUCCAGGGAGCAACGUGUAACCCCAGCGCGGUCCUGGAGAGCGUCUGCCGCGGGACCAGAAGCGUCCGGGCAGCCGUCGCUGUCACAACCUGCCAGUUUGGCGCUGCAGUCGCCGCGCAGCUUUUCGCCAAAUCCGUGUGGUCGCUGGGUCUUUCGGACGUCCACAUCAGGCACCAGAGGUUCGGGUACAGAUGCUUCGACCCCCUCGGGGGGACAGUGCUGGAGGCUGCGGCCGUCGAGCUGGCCUGCGCGUUUGCUGUCCAGGCUGCGGCCAUGCACGUCCACAAACUGGACGAAAAACUUCAGGCUCACUUCAUCGCUGCUGUCGUCACUGCUCUGGUUUUCGCAGGUGUGCUGAUGAAUAAAGCCGGCCGUGAUCAGCCAUCACUGAUCAUAAUGACUCGCCUCACACAUCUGCUGUGCAUUAACUGGUGGGAGUAUUUCAGGAGCCAUGUUUAACCCCGUCCUGGCCUUCUCCGUCCAGUUCCCCUGCAGCGGUCACACCUACCUGGAGUACUGCUUUGUCUACUGGCUGGGACCAGUUUUAGGCCUGGCGGGCUGCAUCCUCCUGUUUGAGAAGAUCAUCCCUUUCCUCUCUGGGAAGAGCACCGCUGGGCUGGAGGUUCCCGCCGACCACAAAGAGAAGACACAGUAGCAGCGAUGCCAAGGCAGCCAAAGUUUACGUUCAGCUCGUGAAUGAUAGCAGAUGGCUGGAAGAGGAAAGAUACUGCAACAGUUUAAGAAGGAAAAUCACUUGCAAAUUAACACUAAUCUGCUUCAAAAUCACAGAACAACUCCGAGAUGUAUUUGUUGUCAGGGCGCCAAUAGAUUCUCUUACUCUCACUGCACUUUUUUGUUUUUUUUUCUUUGCUUCGUUACUUUACAGAACUUUCUGAUCUUUUAAAAUCCUGCAAAAGGGCUCGGAACAGACUCGAGCGGUGAAACAGCACAAAAAUAUUGUUGUUUUGGUGUAUUUCAGUUUGAGUAAUGAGGGUGAAUUUUGCACAGUUGUUAAAGUUCCAGAAAACUGGACACUGAUGUAAGUUUUCAUUUGAAGUUUUGAUGACCAAACUUUUACAGUCUUGCGUGUCUUUAUCAUGUCUGUCGGUCAGGCUAAUUUACUAUUUAUUUCUAAUGUGGGCAAAAAGCUAAACGUGUACUGGUGUCAUAUUUUCUGGGGCAGCUGUUGGGAUUUUGUUAAUAUAGUUUUGAGCACUUCACUUUUUCUUUUCCUUCUGUCAAAUCUGCAGAAACUUCCAUUUCUCUGUGACACACAGGCAGAUUAAUUUACAACUUUAAUACCUCGAGUCUGGAUGGUGAUGAUGGUGCGUUUCUAAGAGGAGUACUUGUGUGAUAAUUUUAUGUGAGAAUGUGAAUUUUUGUCAGAGGAAAAUGCUCUGACCAGGUGAGAGGUUUUUUGAUUUUAAUGCAUUUGUCAUAUCUCGUAUGAAGUAUUUCGAUUAAAAACUUUUGGAAAAAGUGA
This is an RNA transcript of Scatophagus argus, 1926 nucleotides long. It is a transcript of the gene named aquaporin-11-like, with no coding region annotated. Lineage: Eukaryota; Metazoa; Chordata; Actinopteri; Scatophagidae. The record is from RefSeq and is a predicted model, not a curated record. The transcript has 3 exons.